Molecule: ribosomal RNA, 468 nt
Filed under: uncultured bacterium
Lineage: Bacteria
Description: partial 16S ribosomal RNA
Rfam family: Bacterial small subunit ribosomal RNA
Source: RNAcentral
GACGAACGCUGGCGGCGUGCUUAACACAUGCAAGUCGAACGGAAAGGCCCUGCUUUUGUGGGGUGCUCGAGUGGCGAACGGGUGAGUAACACGUGAGUAACCUGCCCUUGACUUUGGGAUAACUUCAGGAAACUGGGGCUAAUACCGGCUAGGAGCUCCUGCUGCAUGGUGGGGGUUGGAAAGUUUCGGCGGUUGGGGAUGGACUCGCGGCUUAUCAGCUUGUUGGUGGGGUAGUGGCUUACCAAGGCUUUGACGGGUAGCCGGCCUGAGAGGGUGACCAGCCACAUUGGGACUGAGAUACGGCGCAGACUCCUACGGGAGGCAGCAGUGGGGAAUAUUGCACAAUGGGCGGAAGCCUGAUGCAGCAACGCCGCGUGCGGGAUGACGGCCUUCGGGUUGUAAACCGCUUUCGCCUGUGACGAAGCGUGAGUGACGGUAAUGGGUGAAGAAGCACCGGCUAACUACGUG